GACGAACGCUGGCGGCGCGCUUAACACAUGCAAGUCGAACGGAAAGGCCUGCUUUCCCUUGUGGAUUGCGGGUACUCGAGUGGCGAACGGGUGAGUAACACGUGAGUGAUCUGCCCCCAACUUGGGUAUAAGCCUGGGAAACUGGGUCUAAUUCCCGAUAGGACUGCAGGGUGGUGCCUGUGUUGGAAAACGAUUUUCUAGUGGUUGGGGAUGAGCUCGCGGCCUAUCAGCUUGUUGGUGGGGUAAUGGCCUACCAAGGCGGCGACGGGUAGCCGGCCUGAGAGGGUGGACGGCCACAUUGGGACUGAGAUACGGCCCAGACUCCUACGGGAGGCAGCAGUGGGGAAUAAUGCACAAUGGGCGGAAGCCUGAUGCAGCGACGCCGCGUGGGGGAUGACGGCCUUGGGGUUGUAAACUCCUUUCGACCGCGAGGAAGCCACCUGGUUGGAAGGGUGGUGACGGUAGUGGUAGAAGAAGCACCGGCUAACUACGUG
RNAcentral lists this ribosomal RNA (494 nucleotides) under uncultured bacterium. RNAcentral describes it as "partial 16S ribosomal RNA". It matches the Rfam family "Bacterial small subunit ribosomal RNA", at positions 28 to 507 of the family's 1533-position model. The record is from RNAcentral.